UUUCGCCAUCAUCAUGGUUCUAUGUAUAUAUAUAUAUAUAUAUAUAUAAAUGUAUGUAUAUGUACAUAUGUUUGUGUGUGUAAAGUGUAGUAUGGAUAAUAAGUAUAGUAUAUCCAUGCAGAGGAAGCACUUAGGGGAAAAGAGAAUAUUUUGUAGAGGGGAUUGGAGCACGCGCCGCAUAUUCGCCCUUCCAAAGGUGGAUUUAAUUUUUUUUUGAAGGAUCCAAAUUAUCCAAUCAAAUUAAUUGUAUUAAAAUUAAUUUUGAGAAAAAAAAUCUUUUAGUUACACUUGAUCUUAUUGUCACAUUGAUCAAGUAAUAGCACAAAAGUCGAUGUUAAAUUUAUUUAACUGAUUAUUUUUGCUGGUAUGAUCCUUGGGCUUUAAACCACGAGCCUGAUGUAAGAUUAGCCUUAAGGAGAACAAGAAGAUUCGUUGGUGGGAUAAGAAAUGAAUAAAUGGACAUUUCGGCAUUUGCAUUUUAGUAUCCAACACAACAGCAACUACGAUCCAAGUCAUUUUUUAUCUUAUAUUAUUUGGCAAAACUUUGCUUCCCGAUUCUCUGCGCCAGAUCAAAAUUUUUUUUCGACAAAUAAAAAGGGAUCGGGUACGCCCUAAUUACGGAUAUGAAUAAAUGAAUUUAUAUUUAAACCAAGGGAUGAAAGGUUUAUUAAAUUUUAUGAUUGAAAAUCCAGGUGCUCAAUUUUUAUUAUUUUAUUUUAUUAUUUAUUCGAUCCAAUUGAAUUGAAAUCGAAAUUGAAUUUAUUGGGAGAAAAAUUUUUUUUUUUUUUUUUUUGGGAAAUAUCGAGUGAUGGGA
Microplitis mediator is the source of this 814-nucleotide long non-coding RNA. RefSeq lists it as uncharacterized. NCBI's taxonomy places the organism in Eukaryota, Metazoa, Arthropoda, Insecta, Hymenoptera, Braconidae. The transcript is spliced from 3 exons. The record is from RefSeq and is a predicted model, not a curated record.